ACUGAUAAUGUGGGCCGGUGCACCAUGUCAGCAACGUCGACGGCCUGACAGGCCAUUUUCCAACUAGGCCUAUUGUAAAUGACGAGACCAUGAGGAUGUAAUCAGUAAUAUUGCUCCUGGUAUAGUUAUUUAGUAAAUUUAUAAGUUUCUCCUUUUGGAGUUUACUUCUACGAGUGCUCACUCCCUGCAUCUUGUUCUGUUUUUUGUUCUAUUUUUCAGAAAAUGAAGAUGUACUUUGCCGUUCCACUAAUCUCGGCAAAAGAGUAGAUUAUGGUGCCCUUUGUGCUAUAGUGGAAUUGAAU
Molecule: long non-coding RNA, 302 nt
Filed under: Triticum aestivum (bread wheat)
Lineage: Eukaryota; Viridiplantae; Streptophyta; Magnoliopsida; Poales; Poaceae
Description: long non-coding RNA (TAES_LNC002774)
Source: RNAcentral